CCAAUAGCGUAUAUUAAAGUUGUUGCAGUUAAAAAGCUCGUAGUUGAAUUUCGGGAUUGACACAUCGGUCGUGCCCUAAGGGGUAUGAACUGGUGUAGUCAAUUUCUCACCUUCUGGAGAACCGCGAUGCCCUUAAUUGGGUGUCACGGGGAACCAGGACCUUUACUUUGAAAAAAUUAGAGUGUUUAAAGCAGGCAUUUUGCUUGAAUACAUUAGCAUGGAAUAAUAAAAUAGGACGGCAUGAUUCUAUUUUGUUGGUUUCUAGGAUAACCGUAAUGAUUAAUAGGGAUAGUUGGGGGCAUUAGUAUUCAAUUGUCAGAGGUGAAAUUCUUGGAUUUAUUGAAGACUAACUACUGCGAAAGCAUUUGCCAAGGAUGUUUUCAUUAAUCAAGAACGAAAGUUAGGGGAUCGAAGACGAUCAGAUACCGUCGUAGUCUUAACCAUAAACUAUGCCGACUAGGAAUCAGACGAUGUUAAUUUUUUAAUGACUCGUUUGGCACCUUACG
RNAcentral lists this ribosomal RNA (506 nucleotides) under uncultured Glomeromycotina. Its description in RNAcentral is "partial small subunit ribosomal RNA". It matches the Rfam family "Eukaryotic small subunit ribosomal RNA", at positions 591 to 1092 of the family's 1831-position model. Lineage: Eukaryota; Fungi; Glomeromycota. The record is from RNAcentral.